This 30-nucleotide non-coding RNA is filed under the name Mus musculus (house mouse). Lineage: Eukaryota; Metazoa; Chordata; Mammalia; Rodentia; Muridae. The record is from RNAcentral.
UGGCUUGAGCCACGCAGGGAAUACACGGGU